Molecule: ribosomal RNA, 255 nt
Filed under: uncultured bacterium
Lineage: Bacteria
Description: partial 16S ribosomal RNA
Rfam family: Bacterial small subunit ribosomal RNA
Source: RNAcentral
CGGACGGGUGAGUAACGCGUGGAAAACCUGCCGUAUACUGGGGGAUAACACUUAGAAAUAGGUGCUAAUACCGCAUGAGCGCACAGCUUCGCAUGAAGCGGUGUGAAAAACUCUGGUGGUAUACGAUGGUUCCGCGUCAGAUUAGCUAGUUGGUGGGGUAAUGGCCUACCAAGGCAACGAUCAGUAGCCGGCCUGAGAGGGUGAACGGCCACAUUGGGACUGAGACACGGCCCAAACUCCUACGGAAGGCAGCAG